AUUGAACGCUGGCGGCAGGCCUAACACAUGCAAGUCGAACGGAUGAAGGGAGCUUGCUCCUGAAUUCAGCGGCGGACGGGUGAGUAAUGCCUAAGAAUCUGCCUGGGAGGGGGGUAUAACGUCCGGAGACGGGCUCUAAUAGCGCAUACUUCCUGGGUGAGAAAGUGGGGGAGCUUCGGACCUCACGCUAUCAGAUGAGGCUAGGUCGGAUUAGCUAGUUGGUGGGGUAAAGGCCUACCAAGGCGACGAUCCGUAACUGGUCUGAGAGGAUGAUCAGUCACACUGGAACUGAGACACGGUCCAGACUCCUACGGGAGGCAGCAGUGGGGAAUAUUGGACAAAGGGCGAAAGCCUGAUCCAGCAAUGCCGCGUGCGUGAAGAAGGUCUUCGGAUUGUAAAGCACUUUAAGUUGGGAGGAAGGGCAGUAAGUUAAUACCUUGCUGUAUUGACGUUACCAACAGAAUAAGCACCGGCUAACUUCGUG
This 484-nucleotide ribosomal RNA is filed under the name uncultured bacterium. Its description in RNAcentral is "partial 16S ribosomal RNA". It matches the Rfam family "Bacterial small subunit ribosomal RNA", at positions 30 to 507 of the family's 1533-position model. The record is from RNAcentral.